UAUGAUUAUUUUUAAAACAUAAGGAAAAUUAUAUCCAAAUUAACACGUGCUUAGAUAAAUAAUAAUGUGUAACUAUACUAGGGUUUUUUUUGGAAAAAUAUUGCGAAAUUUAUAAUAUUAAUAAAUAUUUAAAGAAAUACCUAAAGUGCAGUAUCUAGUCCACUUUUACUCUACGUUGGAUUAUUGACUAAAGGUUUAUUAACAAACACCUGAUAAACUUAAUAAAAAUGAUAAAACUAUAGUGCCAAUAUCAUAAUAUUAUCAAAGCUCCAUACCGCAACUGGUAUAUUGUAUUAGCUGACAUUAAUAACAAUGAAGAGACUCCAACUGGUUCUUAUUUUGGUGAUAAUCGCUAAUGACGCAUUUCAGUCUAAGCUGCCAGCGGGAGGAAAUAUCGAAACAUCGUAUACAACCAAUUCUGCUCCAGAUUACUCUAGUAUUGUAAGGAACAUCUUUAAUAUGUCUAUUAUGACGAUGUUCGUAUGUAUUUUUAUUGUUGUUGGGUUCGCAAUAUUUGUAAAGAUUUAUUAAAAAUAUAUUUAAGUAUACCUUAUUUCUACUUAGUUGGUCUACAUGGGACUGUCGAAUACUACAGUAUAUACAGUACAGCAAGAGUAUUAAAGUAGUAAUACAAUGUGGUUAUAGUUUCUAAAAAUGUAUAGGUACUAGUUGAUACUAAAAUAAAUUAGAUCUGUGUUAUGGCCUCUGCCUUUUCAUUCAUGUCCUCUAGCAUUUUUAAAGAACAAAUACUAAACCACCAGAUUUAUAUUUAUAUACCGUAGCCUACCUACGGUACGUUAUUUUAAUUCUGAUUCAUAUUUGCAUUUAGGUAAAAUAAGAAAUCCAGUUUGUCUGUUAGAUUGCUUUUGGAAAAUAUAAUCUUAAAUACUGCGUAUUUUAAGUUGUUAUUAACCCUUUGCACCUAAUUUUAGUGCGCAAAAAAUAAAAUAAAAUAAUAAUUUAUUAUAAUAGUUUACUGUUAUUACAAUGUAAUCCUAUCCUAGUAUCGGUAUCGGUUUAGUCUGGGAACGAAAUUUCAUUCAAAUCAGCAGUAACGUAACAUAUAUUCAAAUGACUAGGAUUUAGGUACAAACUUUUACAUUAAUAAGGCAAUUUAUUUAUUUUAACUUUAUUUAACUUCAAAUAAAAAAUGAUGAUACAAUGUUUGCAAUAAUAACGGUGGCUGUGCUAUGAUCUACUAAGUAAAAUUUCAACAUUCUUUUUAGGUCAAUCGUAACUCUUAUACUAGUAAGGCUACCCUUAAAUUCUACCACUUCAUUCGUUUAUGGGCCAAUGCGUUUAGAUAUUGCUUAGAAAUCUUGUAAAUAAUAAAGGCCUUAACAGUAACUUUGUUACUAAUAAGUUUAUUCGUUAUUGUUAUGGCGUAUAUGUCACCAUCAACACUGACAUAAUUUUAGGUAUUUCAAAAUAAACAUUCUAUAACCUAUAUCUACUUACAAAUAAAAUAUAAGAAAAUAAUUGACGAUUGAUAACACAAUUAAAAUAUAUUUUUUUUUGUAACAAAACAUUAGCCAAAAUAUCACAUAGCACAAAAUAAAGCUAUAUAAAAUUUGUAUACACAACAGUUCAAUGUAUGGAAGUUACGAGUACAACAUUGCAAAUAACAUAUUCGCAAUUGCAAUAGCAGGACAUAGAAUACUGAUAAAUAAUACAUUUCAAAUCUUCGAUCAGUAACAACAAGACAUAAUUAGCGUUUACAAAACAUCCUCUCAGUAGAGGGCGUUUUUGAUACUGUCAUCAAAAUUUUUCAAUUCUUUGGCGAACUAUUGAAAUAUUUGUUCUUACCAAAACCUAGAGAUUUUUUAAACAUCAUUGCGAUUUUAAGAUGGAUGUAAAUCUUCUUAUUAGUGAUCGAUAUUUGAAUCAGAUUAGUGGACGUCUAUUAAUUACGUUCUUCUCGUCCUACGCUCCAUAUUGGUGAAAUUUAUUACCGAUAAGAGAACCCUUUCCCUCUUAUGUAAAAUUUUUAAUUAGUUGAUAAAUAAACAACUUUGAGAAUAUGAGAUCAUGUUUUUUGUAGUCAUAUCUUUAUAAUGCCACUAUUUUUAAUUAUAAUUAAUGACAUAAUAUGGAAACAUUAAAUACUAAUUAAAUAAUUUGCUUGCUUAGCUAUUUUAUUAGCUGAAUACGGAUCUAUUUACUUUUCAAAUAAGAACAUUGUGUCACCUAUAAUAAAACAAAUAAUGUAUUCUAUUCUGUUAAACUUAUUUGAUAUGUUGAUGUAUUGUGCUUAUUUCAGUGAAAUAAAAGGAAAACAAAAGUUGA
This is a long non-coding RNA of Galleria mellonella (greater wax moth), 2286 nucleotides long. RefSeq lists it as uncharacterized. NCBI's taxonomy places the organism in Eukaryota, Metazoa, Arthropoda, Insecta, Lepidoptera, Pyralidae. The record is from RefSeq and is a predicted model, not a curated record. The transcript is spliced from 2 exons.